This 420-nucleotide ribosomal RNA is filed under the name uncultured bacterium. Its description in RNAcentral is "bacterial SSU rRNA". It matches the Rfam family "Bacterial small subunit ribosomal RNA", at positions 356 to 774 of the family's 1533-position model. The record is from RNAcentral.
AAGGAAUAUUGGUCAAUGGACGCAAGUCUGAACCAGCCAUGCCGCGUGAAGGAUGAAGGUCCUCUGGAUUGUAAACUUCUUUUAUCUGGGACGAAAACGGGAUUUUUAUCCCAAUUGACGGUACCAGAGGAAUAAGCACCGGCUAACUCCGUGCCAGCAGCCGCGGUAAUACGGCGGGUGCGAGCGUUAUCCGGAUUUACUGGGUUUAAAGGGUGCGUAGGUGGGCUUAUAAGUCAGUGGUGAAAUCUCCGAGCUUAACUGCAGAAUUGCCAUUGAUACUGUUAGUCUUGAGUACAGUUGAGGUAGGCGGAAUGUGUCAUGUAGCGGUGAAAUGCUUAGAUAUGACACAGAACACCGAUUGCGAAGGCAGCUUGCUAAGCUGUAACUGACGCUGAGGCACGAAAGCGUGGGGAGCAAACA